RNAcentral lists this ribosomal RNA (767 nucleotides) under uncultured organism. RNAcentral describes it as "bacterial SSU rRNA". It matches the Rfam family "Bacterial small subunit ribosomal RNA", at positions 14 to 827 of the family's 1533-position model. The record is from RNAcentral.
UGAUCCUGGCUCAGGAUUACGCUAGCGACGUGCCUAAGGUAUGCAAGUCGAAUGCCGAUUUAUCGGCAUGGCAGACGGCUGAGUAACACAUGGGAAUCUACCUCAGACUCGAGAAUAGCCCAUCGAAAGGUGGUGUAAUACUCGAUAGUUCCGUUUACGGUAAAGCUCCGGCGGUUUGAGAUGAGCCCAUGUCCUAUCAGGUUGUUGGUGGGGUAAUUGCCUACCAAGCCUAUGACGGGUAGCUGGUUUGAGAGGAUGAUCAGCCAGACUGGGACUGCGAUACGGCCCAGACUCCUACGGGAGGCAGCAACUAGGAAUCAUGCGCAAUGGACGAAAGUCUGACGCUGCGACGUCGCGUGAGGGAUGAAGGUCUUCGGAUCGUAAACCUCUUUUAUCUGGGAACAAGUUCUGAGUGUACCAGAUGAAUAAGUGCCUGCCAACCACGUGCCAGAAGCAUCGGUAAUGCGUGGGGCACGAGCGUUAUCCGGAUUUACUGGGCGUAAAGAGAUGCGUAGGCGCCUUUUUAAGUCACUUGUAAAAUCUCCCGCUCAACGGGGAAACUGCAAGUGAUACUGAAUUGGUUGAGUCAAGUAGAGGAGAGGGGAAUUCCUGGUGGAGCGGUUAAAUGCGUUGAUAUCAGGAGGAAUACCAAGUGCGAAGGCACCUCUCUGGACUUGUACUGACGCUAAGGCUCGAAAGUGUGGGGAGCAAAACGGAUUAGAUACCCGUGUAGUCCACACUGUAAACGAUCCCUGCUAGAUGUUUGC